UUUCAAACACUCUUUCUGUGGAAUCUGCAAGUGGAUAUUUGCACCACUUUGUGGUCUUCCUUCGAAACGGAAGCAUUCUCAGAAACUGCUUUGUGAUGAUUGCAUUCAACUCACAGAGUUGAAGAUUGCAUUUGAAACAGCAGUUUCUAAACACUCUUUCUGUGGGAUCUGCAAGUGGAUAUUUGGACCUCUUUGAAGAUUUCGUUGGAAAAGGGAUAAUCUUCACAUAAAAGCUAAACUGAAGCAUUAUCAGAAACUUCUUUGUGAUGCGUGCAUUCAACUCACAGAGUUGAACAUUCCUUUAGAUAGA
Molecule: long non-coding RNA, 310 nt
Filed under: Homo sapiens (human)
Lineage: Eukaryota; Metazoa; Chordata; Mammalia; Primates; Hominidae
Description: non-protein coding lnc-OR4A5-3:1
Source: RNAcentral